GUAACGACGUUGUCGCUACUAGGUAAUGGUAACGACGCUGCCGCUACUAUGUAAUGGUAACGACACUGCCGCUACUAGGUAAUGGUAACGACGUUGUCGCUACUAUGUAAUGGUAACGACACUGCCGCUACUAGGUAAUGGUAACGACGUUGUCGCUACUAGGUAAUGGUAACGACACUGCCGCUACUAGGUAAUGGUAACGACACUGCCGCUACUAGGUAAUGGUAACGACCCUGUCGCUACUAGGUAAUGGUAACGACGUUGCCGCUACUAGGUAAUGGUAACGACACUGCCGCUACUAGGUAAUGGUAACGACACUGCCGCUACUAGGUAAUGGUAACGACACUGCCGCUACUAGGUAAUGGUAACGACCCUGCCGCUACUAGGUAAUGGUAACGACACUGCCGCUACUAGGUAAUGGUAACGACGUUGUCGCUACUAGGUAAUGGUAACGACGUUGUCGCUACUAGGUAAUGGUAACGACGUUGCCGCUACUAGGUAAUGGUAACGACCCUGUCGCUACUAGGUAAUGGUAACGACGUUGUCGCUACUAGGUAAUGGUAACGACGUUGUCGCUACUAGGUAAUGGUAACGACGUUGUCGCUACUAGGUAAUGGUAACGACGUUGCCGCUACUAGGUAAUGGUAACGACACUGCCGCUACUAGGUAAUGGUAACGACGUUGUCGCUACUAGGUAAUGGUAACGACGCUGUCGCUACUAGGUAAUGGUAACGACACUGCCGCUACUAGGUAAUGGUAACGACGUUGUCGCUACUAGGUAAUGGUAACGACGUUGCCGCUACUAGGUAAUGGUAACGACGUUGUCGCUACUAGGUAAUGGUAACGACGUUGUCGCUACUAUGCAAUGGUAACGACGCUGUCGCUACUAGGU
Petromyzon marinus (sea lamprey) is the source of this 892-nucleotide non-coding RNA. The record is from RefSeq and is a predicted model, not a curated record. Lineage: Eukaryota; Metazoa; Chordata; Hyperoartia; Petromyzontiformes; Petromyzontidae.